This is a long non-coding RNA of Dermochelys coriacea (leatherback sea turtle), 1038 nucleotides long. RefSeq lists it as uncharacterized. Lineage: Eukaryota; Metazoa; Chordata; Testudines; Dermochelyidae. The record is from RefSeq and is a predicted model, not a curated record. The transcript has 2 exons.
UAAAGGGGUCUUAGUGCAAAUGCGGAUUCAGGCUUGUCUGUCUGGUCCCCCUGACUCUGACUUUUCCCCUUUGCAGAUGCGGCUCCCAGUCCUUGCCAUUGGAGAGCCAUUAUUGUGGCUCUGUUCCUGGGAUUAAUGCCAUUGUCCUUGUGAACCUGCUGCAGAGAAAAACGCCCUAACGCUGGUGGGCUAGAAUCUCGUAUCGCAGACGCCUGAUGAGAAGGUGUACAGGCCGACGGGGACUGACGGGAAGGCAGGGGGAGCAGGCUAUUGGGUGAAAUCCUGGCCGUAGUGAAGUCAGUGGGAGUUUUGCAAUGACUUCUGUGGAGUCCAGAUUUCACCCACAGAUGUAGCUUGGUCCCCAGAAUCUCCGGUAAAAUGCCCCUACUCAUUGGAGAAUAUUCCGAGCAACCUUUGUCUAAAGGAGAUGUUUCUCCAUGGUAAAGAGAAAUAAAAGUACUGGAUAUUUGAGAAUACUUUAAUACUCAAGUAUCGUGCUGAGUUGGGAUUAGCAAUGCAGUUACUGACCCACACGUCUAGUGAUACGUAUUCAAAGCCCUGCUUACUGAUUGCCUGAAGUGGUUGGAUUUCCAUAAUGACUCUAAGGUUCUCUCCCUAAUGCUGCCAGUUUCAACCUGUGGUCUCUGCGGAACUGUUCUAGGCAUGGUGCAGAGAGGGCAAGGUGGACUCUGCAUUCAGACCUUGGAAAGGAGCAGCUGACUGUCUGUCGAGCUAGGUACUUGUAUGACUUCCACCGCUGAAGUAUCUGCCAAGACUUGGAAACAGCCAGUACCAUGGUCAGCAUUAGAGCACUGCAGCAGCAUGUCCUCAUCACCGCAGUGUAGACGUACCCUGAGGGCCUUUUGCAUCAUUCUGGCCGCUCCAAGCGGGUAGAAUGAAAAGGGGUAGAAAUUACAGUUACAUUCACUUUAAGGCUGCUCUAGGUUUCCAGAGUCAUGUAUAGGGGCCUCAUUGUCGAUGUUUAUGUGUAACCAAGGAAGUCAUUUACACCAGAAUAAAGUCAUUUCUGUUCCAGCA